Long non-coding RNA from Mauremys reevesii (Reeves's turtle), 652 nucleotides. RefSeq lists it as uncharacterized. The transcript has 3 exons. The record is from RefSeq and is a predicted model, not a curated record. Lineage: Eukaryota; Metazoa; Chordata; Testudines; Geoemydidae.
AUUUCACACAUCCGCAAGACAGCGUGCAGAAUCUCUGUGACUGUUUCCCUCUGAUAGAGGAGUUUUUGAAAAUGAAACAAAGGAGUGGUGACUAAUCAGCAGUAUCCUCACAGGGAGGAAGGGGCUUCGGAAUCAAGUCCAAAACUAAAGACAGAACAGCAGACCCAAGCAACACACCAGAUCUGACAGUGUGAACAAAGGCAUAGUGUUUAGAAAAGCUGGAGACCCUACUCCUGGAAGAGAGAGAGAGAGAGCAGUCUGAGUGGAAGUUAGUACUGCUUCAACAGAUCGGCCCUUGAGUAGCCAGUUGUCGAGAUAUGGGAAGACUAAAAUUGCUUUGUGUUGAAGGUGAGCAGCCACUACCACUAAAACCUUCGAGAACACCAUUGGGGCUGAAAGGAAGUACUCGGUAUUGAAAAUAGUCCUGGCCCAUGGCAAAGCACAGGUCUCUCCUGUGUGGGGGGGAUGUAUCGCUAUAUGGAAACAGAUGUCUUGUAGGUUGAGGGCUGAAAACCAAUCUCCUACCUCUAGAGUAAGGAUUACAGCUACCAGAGUAAACAUCCAGAACUUUUGAGCUAUGUUCAGUUGUGUUAGCUCUAAGAUUGCUCUCCACCCUCCACCCUUCUUUGGCAUGUGAAAAUACUUUGCAUAA